UACGUAGGCAGCGAGCGUUGUUCGGAGUUACUGGGCGUAAAGAGUGCGUAGGCGGUUUUCUAAGUUUGGUGUGAAAUCUCCCGGCUUAACUGGGAGGGUGCGCCGAAGACUGGAAGGCUAGAGUAUGGGAGAGGUAAGCGGAAUUCCGGGUGUAGCGGCGAAAUGCGUAGAUAUCCGGAGGAACACCGGUGGCGAAGGCGGCGACCUGGUCCUUGACUGACGCUGAGGCGCGAAAGCGUGGGGAGCAAACAGG
This 253-nucleotide ribosomal RNA is filed under the name uncultured bacterium. Its description in RNAcentral is "partial 16S ribosomal RNA". It matches the Rfam family "Bacterial small subunit ribosomal RNA", at positions 524 to 776 of the family's 1533-position model. The record is from RNAcentral.